Molecule: unclassified non-coding RNA, 363 nt
Filed under: uncultured bacterium
Lineage: Bacteria
Description: contains 16S-23S intergenic spacer region
Source: RNAcentral
UCCCCGUUACCGGGGCAGUCUGAUUAGAAAAAUACAACUAAUCACAAGGGUUGCGCUCGUUGAAGGACUUAACCUAACAUCUCACGACACGAGCUGACGACGGCCAUGCAUCACCUGUCACUUGGCUCAAUAAAGCACUCUUACCUUUCGGUAAAAUUCCAAGGAUGUCAAACCCUGGUAAGGUUCUUCGUUUAUCAUCGAAUUAAAGAACAUGAUCCACCGCUUGUGCGGGUCCCCGUCAAUUCCUUUAUGUUUUAGUCUUGCGACCGUACUCCACAGGCGGGAUACUUAACGCGUGAGCUUCGCUACUGGGGGGGUCGAUACCCCCAACAGCUAGUAUCCAUCGUUUACGGCGUGGACUAC